Molecule: ribosomal RNA, 494 nt
Filed under: uncultured bacterium
Lineage: Bacteria
Description: partial 16S ribosomal RNA
Rfam family: Bacterial small subunit ribosomal RNA
Source: RNAcentral
GACGAACGCUGGCGGCGUGCUUAACACAUGCAAGUCGAACGGAAAGGCCUGCUUUCCCUUGUGGAUUGCGGGUACUCGAGUGGCGAACGGGUGAGUAACACGUGAGUGAUCUGCCCCCAACUUGGGUAUAAGCCUGGGAAACUGGGUCUAAUUCCCGAUAGGACUGCAGGGUGGUGCCUGUGGUGGAAAACGAUUUUCUAGUGGUUGGGGAUGAGCUCGCGGCCUAUCAGCUUGUUGGUGGGGUAAUGGCCUACCAAGGCGGCGACGGGUAGCCGGCCUGGGAGGGUGGACGGCCACAUUGGGACUGAGAUACGGCCCAGACUCCUACGGGAGGCAGCAGUGGGGAAUAUUGCACAAUGGGCGGAAGCCUGAUGCAGCGACGCCGCGUGGGGGAUGACGGCCUUCGGGUUGUAAACUCCUUUCGACCGCGAGGAAGCUACCUGGUUGGAAGGGUGGUGACGGUAGUGGUAGAAGAAGCACCGGCUAACUACGUG